AGACGGAGGGGGCUAGCGUUGUUCGGAAUUACUGGGCGUAAAGCGCGCGUAGGCGGUUCGCUAAGUUGGGCGUGAAAGCCCGGGGCUCAACCCCGGAACUGCGUUCAAAACUGGCGGACUUGAGGCCGGGAGAGGAGAGCGGAAUUCCCAGUGUAGAGGUGAAAUUCGUAGAUAUUGGGAAGAACACCAGUGGCGAAGGCGGCUCUCUGGCCCGGUUCUGACGCUGAGGUGCGAAAGCGUGGGGAGCAAACAGGAUUAGAUACCCCGGUAGUCC
Molecule: ribosomal RNA, 274 nt
Filed under: uncultured bacterium
Lineage: Bacteria
Description: partial 16S ribosomal RNA
Rfam family: Bacterial small subunit ribosomal RNA
Source: RNAcentral